Molecule: ribosomal RNA, 468 nt
Filed under: uncultured bacterium
Lineage: Bacteria
Description: partial 16S ribosomal RNA
Rfam family: Bacterial small subunit ribosomal RNA
Source: RNAcentral
GACGAACGCUGGCGGCGUGCUUAACACAUGCAAGUCGAACGGAAAGGCCCUGCUGUUGUGGGGUGAUCGAGUGGCGAACGGGGGAGUAACACGUGAGUAACCUGCCCUUGACUUUGGGAUAACUUAAGGAAACUGGGGCUAAUACAGGAUAGGAGCUCCUGCUGCAUGGUGGGGGUUGGAAAGUUUCGGCGGUCGGGGAUGGACGCGCGGCUUAUCAGCUUGUUGGUGGGGGAGUGGCUUACCAAGGCGUUGACGGGUAGCCGGCCUGAGAGGUUGACCGGCCACAUUGCUACUGAGAUACGGCCCAGACUCCUACGGGAGGCAGCAGUGGGGAAUAUUGCACAAUGGGCGGAAGCCUGAUGCAGCAACGCCGCGUGCGUGAUGACGGCCUUCGGGUUGUGAACCGCUUUCGCCUGUGACGAAGCGUGAGUGACGGUAAUGAGUAAAGAAGCACCGGCUAACUACGUG